GGAGGAGUAGGCUUUGCUGGAUCCUUCCCAGAAGAAUCUCUACAGAGAUGUGAUGCAGGAAACCUUCAGGAACCUGUCCUCUCUAGGAAAUAAAUGGAAAGACCAGAAUAUUGAAGAUCACUACAGAACUCUAAGGAAGGAGCAUCUGAGCACAGCACAGAAAUGAUCCAAACCAAACUACUGUGAAGUGUAAAGAGAGCAGCAUGGCUUUUCCAAACAGGACAGCAUCACAAACCCUCCCAAGGGUACAAGGAGAGCAGUUAGAACAGAAGGAAAGGUGACCUGAAGACUGUUAGGACUGGUGAAAAUGAUUCAUUGAAAAUCUAAGGAAGAACUCUUGUCUUUGGAGUCCUGUGCCCAUUUCUCUGGCGUGUGUGUUUUCCUGAAGGGCCAUUCCCAGCUUUUCACUUGAAUAAACUCAUCACAACUCAGUCCUACGUUUUUGCAUGAUGUGAGGUUGACGGGACACACACCCAAUACCCAUGGACUGUAUGCUCCCUGCCACUGCCUUCCUC
RNAcentral lists this long non-coding RNA (515 nucleotides) under Pongo abelii (Sumatran orangutan). RNAcentral describes it as "lncRNA (ENSPPYG00000035296.1)". Lineage: Eukaryota; Metazoa; Chordata; Mammalia; Primates; Hominidae. The record is from RNAcentral.